RNAcentral lists this ribosomal RNA (1028 nucleotides) under Clostridioides difficile. RNAcentral's name for it is "bacterial SSU rRNA". It matches the Rfam family "Bacterial small subunit ribosomal RNA", at positions 200 to 1250 of the family's 1533-position model. Lineage: Bacteria; Bacillati; Bacillota; Clostridia; Peptostreptococcales; Peptostreptococcaceae. The record is from RNAcentral.
AUCAAAGGUGAGCCAGUACAGGAUGGACCCGCGUCUGAUUAGCUAGUUGGUAAGGUAACGGCUUACCAAGGCGACGAUCAGUAGCCGACCUGAGAGGGUGAUCGGCCACAUUGGAACUGAGACACGGUCCAAACUCCUACGGGAGGCAGCAGUGGGGAAUAUUGCACAAUGGGCGAAAGUCUGAUGCAGCAACGCCGCGUGAGUGAUGAAGGCCUUCGGGUCGUAAAACUCUGUCCUCAAGGAAGAUAAUGACGGUACUUGAGGAGGAAGCCCCGGCUAACUACGUGCCAGCAGCCGCGGUAAUACGUAGGGGGCUAGCGUUAUCCGGAUUUACUGGGCGUAAAGGGUGCGUAGGCGGUCUUUCAAGUCAGGAGUGAAAGGCUACGGCUCAACCGUAGUAAGCUCUUGAAACUGGGAGACUUGAGUGCAGGAGAGGAGAGUGGAAUUCCUAGUGUAGCGGUGAAAUGCGUAGAUAUUAGGAGGAACACCAGUUGCGAAGGCGGCUCUCUGGACUGUAACUGACGCUGAGGCACGAAAGCGUGGGGAGCAAACAGGAUUAGAUACCCUGGUAGUCCACGCUGUAAACGAUGAGUACUAGGUGUCGGGGGUUACCCCCUUCGGUGCCGCAGCUAACGCAUUAAGUACUCCGCCUGGGAAGUACGCUCGCAAGAGGGAAACUCAAGAGAAUUGGCGGGGACCCGCACGAUUAGCGGAGGAUGUGGUUUAAUUCGAAGCAAAGCGAAGAACCUUACCUAAGCUGGACAGCCCAAUGACAUCUCCUUAAUCGGGGAGUUCCCUGCGGGGACAUUGGUGACGGGUGGUGCAUGGUUGUCGUCAGCUCGUGUCGUGAGAUGUUGGGUUAAGUCCCGCAACGAGCGCAACCCUUGUCUUUAGUUGCCAUCAUUAAGUUGGGCACUCUAGAGAGACUGCCAGGGAUAACCUGGAGGAAGGUGGGGAUGACGUCAAAUCAUCAUGCCCCUUAUGCUUAGGGCUACACACGUGCUACAAUGGGUAGUACAGAGGGUUGC